CAGAUCAAUGAUGACAGCUUGUUAUGAACCAAAGGUUAUAAUGAAUUCAAUUUUACGGAUCUUAU
This is a small nucleolar RNA of Pteropus vampyrus (large flying fox), 65 nucleotides long. Lineage: Eukaryota; Metazoa; Chordata; Mammalia; Chiroptera; Pteropodidae. The record is from Ensembl.